RNAcentral lists this ribosomal RNA (497 nucleotides) under uncultured bacterium. RNAcentral describes it as "partial 16S ribosomal RNA". It matches the Rfam family "Bacterial small subunit ribosomal RNA", at positions 28 to 507 of the family's 1533-position model. The record is from RNAcentral.
GAUGAACGCUGGCGGCGUGCCUAAUACAUGCAAGUCGAGCGAACGGACGAGAAGCUUGCUUUUCUGAUGUUAGCGGCGGACGGGUGAGUAACACGUGGAUAACCUACCUAUAAGACUGGGAUAACUUCGGGAAACCGGAGCUAAUACCGGAUAAUAUUUUGAACCGCAUGGUUCAAAAGUGAAAGACGGUCUUGCUGUCACUUAUAGAUGGAUCCGCGCUGCAUUAGCUAGUUGGUAAGGUAACGGCUUACCAAGGCAACGAUGCAUAGCCGACCUGAGAGGGUAAUCGGCCACACUGGAACUGAGACACGGUCCAGACUCCUACGGGAGGUAGCAGUAGGGAAUCUUCCGCAAUGGGCGAAAGCCUGACGGAGCAACGCCGCGUGAGUGAUGAAGGUCUUCGGAUCGUAAAACUCUGUUAUUAGGGAAGAACAUAUGUGUAAGUAACUGUGCACAUCUUGACGGUACCUAAUCAGAAAGCCACGGCUAACUACGUG